GAUGGACAUUUCUGGGCAGAAAAGAAUGUUCACAAACAAAAUGAAAAGCUAAGGUCCUUGAAUCCUUGGCCUAAUCAUGAGAGAGCUUCCAGGGGUAGCCUUAACAGAGUCCUAACAUGAUUUUUUUCCCUCCCACAGAUUUGAUACUACUAAAAAUCAAAGUUUAAUUGUCUAACUGCCAGAUUACAGCAUCAUUGGAAAUUGCAGCGUGGCCGGUUUUCUCAUAUGAAAGCUAAGCCUUUGAAUCUGGAAGGAGGAACCUCAAACUUAAAAUGGGACACAAAGUUGGACUGAACCUGACAACCUUGAACCCCUGAGUUUUCCCUGACAGUGGAGGGAGCUUGUCUUUCUCUGAGGAGCCUGGAGCAGAGGGAUGAACAAUUAGAGUUGUGUAUUUACAGUUGUUAUCUGUCAGCAGUACUCCAUCCCAACAGUCCUCUGGACAGCCUUGGGUGAGGAAUGGGAUCCAGCAACUGUUGAUCAAAGGAGGAGGCAACCAUGGAGGAGGACGCAGAUGAGACAUUAGCACUGAGAAAAGAACCUGAGGCCUUGUCACGUUUGCAUACUAAAUGGAACCACACAGUGCACAGAACUGUGAACUUGGAGGCAGGUGGCUUAGACUCUAAUUCAGUUUUUUACCUGUUCAUCCCAUGAACUAGAAAAAAACUCUCUUUCAGCUUCCGCAUAUCCACCCAAACAAUAGUGAGUAAUCUCUUCUCUUUAUUGGAUCAAUUUAAGGAUUCACAGAGAAUGUAAACCAUCUUUUGU
Molecule: long non-coding RNA, 768 nt
Filed under: Cricetulus griseus (Chinese hamster)
Lineage: Eukaryota; Metazoa; Chordata; Mammalia; Rodentia; Cricetidae
Description: lncRNA (ENSCGRG00000025209.1)
Source: RNAcentral